This 598-nucleotide ribosomal RNA is filed under the name Trichoderma harzianum. RNAcentral describes it as "eukaryotic LSU rRNA". The stretch from base 224 to 377 matches the Rfam family "5.8S ribosomal RNA". Lineage: Eukaryota; Fungi; Ascomycota; Sordariomycetes; Hypocreales; Hypocreaceae. The record is from RNAcentral.
CACUCUUAGAGGAGGGACAUUACCGAGUUUACAACUCCCAAACCCAAUGUGAACGUUACCAAACUGUUGCCUCGGCGGGAUCUCUGCCCCGGGUGCGUCGCAGCCCCGGACCAAGGCGCCCGCCGGAGGACCAACCAAAACUCUUAUUGUAUACCCCCUCGCGGGUUUUUUUAUAAUCUGAGCCUUCUCGGCGCCUCUCGUAGGCGUUUCGAAAAUGAAUCAAAACUUUCAACAACGGAUCUCUUGGUUCUGGCAUCGAUGAAGAACGCAGCGAAAUGCGAUAAGUAAUGUGAAUUGCAGAAUUCAGUGAAUCAUCGAAUCUUUGAACGCACAUUGCGCCCGCCAGUAUUCUGGCGGGCAUGCCUGUCCGAGCGUCAUUUCAACCCUCGAACCCCUCCGGGGGGUCGGCGUUGGGGAUCGGCCCUGCCUUGGCGGUGGCCGUCUCCGAAAUACAGUGGCGGUCUCGCCGCAGCCUCUCCUGCGCAGUAGUUUGCACACUCGCAUCGGGAGCGCGGCGCGUCCACAGCCGUUAAACACCCAACUUCUGAAAUGUUGACCUCGGAUCAGGUAGGAAUACCCGCUGAAACUUAAGCAUAUC